This 255-nucleotide ribosomal RNA is filed under the name Klebsiella pneumoniae. Its description in RNAcentral is "partial 23S ribosomal RNA". It matches the Rfam family "Bacterial large subunit ribosomal RNA", at positions 2112 to 2366 of the family's 2925-position model. Lineage: Bacteria; Pseudomonadati; Pseudomonadota; Gammaproteobacteria; Enterobacterales; Enterobacteriaceae. RNAcentral also lists the same sequence under 1 other name. The record is from RNAcentral.
UGACACUGAACAUUGAGCCUUGAUGUGUAGGAUAGGUGGGAGGCUUUGAAGCGUGGACGCCAGUCUGCGUGGAGCCAACCUUGAAAUACCACCCUUUAAUGUUUGAUGUUCUAACGUUGGCCCCUUACCGGGGUUGCGGACAGUGUCUGGUGGGUAGUUUGACUGGGGCGGUCUCCUCCCAAAGCGUAACGGAGGAGCACGAAGGUUAGCUAAUCCUGGUCGGACAUCAGGAGGUUAGUGCAAUGGCAUAAGCUA